GCCUGUGUGGCUCAGUGGGUAGAGCGUCGGCCUGGGGACUGAAGGGUCCCGGGUUCGAUUCCGGUCAAGGGCA
This 73-nucleotide transfer RNA is filed under the name Myotis davidii. It matches the Rfam family "tRNA". Rfam says of the family: Transfer RNA (tRNA) molecules are approximately 80 nucleotides in length. Their secondary structure includes four short double-helical elements and three loops (D, anti-codon, and T loops). The record is from Rfam by way of RNAcentral. Lineage: Eukaryota; Metazoa; Chordata; Mammalia; Chiroptera; Vespertilionidae.